GAUGAACGCUGGCGGCGUGCCUAAUACAUGCAAGUCGAGCGAACGGACGAGAAGCUUGCUUCUCUGAUGUUAGCGGCGGACGGGUGAGUAACACGUGGAUAACCUACCUAUAAGACUGGGAUAACUUCGGGAAACCGGAGCUAAUACCGGAUGAUAUUUUGAACCGCAUGGUUCAAAAGUGAAAGACGGUCUUGCUGUCACUUAUAGAUGGAUCCGCGCUGCAUUAGCUAGUUGGUAAGGUAACGGCUUACCAAGGCAACGAUGCAUAGCCGACCUGAGAGGGUGAUCGGCCACACUGGAACUGAGACACGGUCCAGACUCCUACGCGAGGCCGCAGUAGGGAAUCUUCCGCAAUGGGCGAAAGCCUGACAGAGCAACGCCGCGUGAGUGAUGAAGGUCUUCGGAUCGUAAAACUCUGUUAUUAGGGAAGAACAUAUGUGUAAGUAACUGUGCACAUCUUGACGGUACCUAAUCAGAAAGCCACGGCUAACUACGUG
This 497-nucleotide ribosomal RNA is filed under the name uncultured bacterium. RNAcentral describes it as "partial 16S ribosomal RNA". It matches the Rfam family "Bacterial small subunit ribosomal RNA", at positions 28 to 507 of the family's 1533-position model. The record is from RNAcentral.